CGGAAUAUAGCUCAGCCUGGUAGAGUGUCUGCUUCGGGAGCAGAAGGCCGUGGGUUCGAAUCCCGCUAUUCCGA
This 74-nucleotide transfer RNA is filed under the name Candidatus Fibrimonadales bacterium. Its description in RNAcentral is "tRNA-Pro". It matches the Rfam family "tRNA". From Rfam's summary of the family: Transfer RNA (tRNA) molecules are approximately 80 nucleotides in length. Their secondary structure includes four short double-helical elements and three loops (D, anti-codon, and T loops). Further hydrogen bonds mediate the characteristic L-shaped molecular structure. tRNAs have two regions of fundamental functional importance: the anti-codon, which is responsible for specific mRNA codon recognition, and the 3' end, to which the tRNAs corresponding amino acid is attached (by aminoacyl-tRNA synthetases). tRNAs cope with the degeneracy of the genetic code in two manners: having more than one tRNA (with a specific anti-codon) for a particular amino acid; and 'wobble' base-pairing, i.e. permitting non-standard base-pairing at the 3rd anti-codon position. The record is from RNAcentral. Lineage: Bacteria; Pseudomonadati; Fibrobacterota; Fibrobacteria; Candidatus Fibrimonadales. RNAcentral also lists the same sequence under 1 other name.